This 163-nucleotide ribosomal RNA is filed under the name Stereum rugosum. Its description in RNAcentral is "partial small subunit ribosomal RNA". It matches the Rfam family "Eukaryotic small subunit ribosomal RNA", at positions 1639 to 1799 of the family's 1831-position model. Lineage: Eukaryota; Fungi; Basidiomycota; Agaricomycetes; Russulales; Stereaceae. The record is from RNAcentral.
CGUUGAUUACGUCCCUGCCCUUUGUACACACCGCCCGUCGCUACUACCGAUUGAAUGGCUUAGUGAGACCUCCGGAUCGGCCCGCAGACAGCGGCGACGCCGCCCGCGAUCUGAGAAGCUGGUCAAACUUGGUCAUUUAGAGGAAGUAAAAGUCGUAACAAGG